Pseudoliparis swirei is the source of this 239-nucleotide long non-coding RNA. RefSeq lists it as uncharacterized. The record is from RefSeq and is a predicted model, not a curated record. The transcript has 2 exons. Lineage: Eukaryota; Metazoa; Chordata; Actinopteri; Perciformes; Liparidae.
UCCUCGGUGACAUAACCUCGUCGCUCCGUUGGACCUUCUGAUGGCGGCUCAUCAGAAGUGCCGCUCCGCCCCCCAGCUGUGCGCCACAUAGAAGGCCCAGAACCCUGAGCAGGACUGACCGAACUGAUCCGGGCCAAAACUACAGCGGAAACAACGGCACAGCAGCCCGACAUCAGCUUCUGGCCUUCUGAGACAAACUGAACACAAUAAAUAAAAAACAGAUCUGAGGAAACACUCUC